RNAcentral lists this ribosomal RNA (486 nucleotides) under uncultured Oxalobacteraceae bacterium. Its description in RNAcentral is "bacterial SSU rRNA". It matches the Rfam family "Bacterial small subunit ribosomal RNA", at positions 91 to 573 of the family's 1533-position model. Lineage: Bacteria; Pseudomonadati; Pseudomonadota; Betaproteobacteria; Burkholderiales; Oxalobacteraceae. The record is from RNAcentral.
GCGAGUGGCGAACGGGUGAGUAACAUAUCGGAACGUGCCCUGGAGUGGGGGAUAACUAGUCGAAAGAUUAGCUAAUACCGCAUACGAUCUACGGAUGAAAGUGGGGGAUCGCAAGACCUCAUGCUCGUGGAGCGGCCGAUAUCUGAUUAGCUAGUUGGUGGGGUAAAGGCCUACCAAGGCAUCGAUCAGUAGCUGGUCUGAGAGGACGACCAGCCACACUGGGACUGAGACACGGCCCAGACUCCUACGGGAGGCAGCAGUGGGGAAUUUUGGACAAUGGGCGCAAGCCUGAUCCAGCAAUGCCGCGUGAGUGAAGAAGGCCUUCGGGUUGUAAAGCUCUUUUGUCAGGGAAGAAACGGUGAGUUCUAAUACAGCUCACUAAUGACGGUACCUGAAGAAUAAGCACCGGCUAACUACGUGCCAGCAGCCGCGGUAAUACGUAGGGUGCAAGCGUUAAUCGGAAUUACUGGGCGUAAAGCGUGCGCA